AAAUGGACUCUCAGCACG
Molecule: ribosomal RNA, 18 nt
Filed under: Frullania sp. B BlS-2016
Lineage: Eukaryota; Viridiplantae; Streptophyta; Jungermanniopsida; Porellales; Frullaniaceae
Description: partial 5.8S ribosomal RNA
Source: RNAcentral